This 1934-nucleotide ribosomal RNA is filed under the name human oral metagenome. RNAcentral's name for it is "bacterial LSU rRNA". It matches the Rfam family "Bacterial large subunit ribosomal RNA", at positions 3 to 1977 of the family's 2925-position model. The record is from RNAcentral.
UCAAGUGAAUAAGUGCAUCAGGUGGAUGCCUUGGCGAUGAUAGGCGACGAAGGACGUGUAAGCCUGCGAAAAGCGUGGGGGAGCUGGCAAUAAAGCUAUGAUCCCGCGAUGUCCGAAUGGGGAAACCCACCUCUUAGGAGGUAUCCUUAUCUGAAUACAUAGGAUAAGAGAAGCGAACCCGGAGAACUGAACCAUCUAAGUACCCGGAGGAAAAGAAAUCAACCGAGAUUCCGUAAGUAGUGGCGAGCGAACGCGGAGGAGCCUGUACGUGAUAACUGUCGAGAUAGAAGAACAAGCUGGGAAGCUUGACCAUAGUGGGUGAUAGUCCCGUAUUCGAAAUCUCAAUAGUGGUACUAAGCGUACGAAAAGUAGGGCGGGACACGUGAAAUCCUGUCUGAAUAUGGGGGGACCAUCCUCCAAGGCUAAAUACUCAUCAUCGACCGAUAGUGAACCAGUACCGUGAGGGAAAGGCGAAAAGAACCCCGGGAGGGGAGUGAAAUAGAACCUGAAACCUGAUGCAUACAAACAGUGGGAGCACCCUUGUGGUGUGACUGCGUACCUUUUGUAUAAUGGGUCAACGACUUACAUUCAGUAGCGAGCUUAACCGAAUAGGGGAGGCGUAGGGAAACCGAGUCUUAAUAGGGCGAACAGUUGCUGGGUGUAGACCCGAAACCGAGUGAUCUAUCCAUGGCCAGGUUGAAGGUGCCGUAACAGGUACUGGAGGACCGAACCCACGCAUGUUGCAAAAUGCGGGGAUGAGCUGUGGAUAGGGGUGAAAGGCUAAACAAACUCGGAGAUAGCUGGUUCUCCCCGAAAACUAUUUAGGUAGUGCCUCGAGCAAGACACUGAUGGGGGUAAAGCACUGUUAUGGCUAGGGGGUUAUUGCAACUUACCAACCCAUGGCAAACUAAGAAUACCAUCAAGUGGUUCCUCGGGAGACAGACAGCGGGUGCUAACGUCCGUUGUCAAGAGGGAAACAACCCAGACCGCCAGCUAAGGUCCCAAAUGAUAGAUUAAGUGGUAAACGAAGUGGGAAGGCCCAGACAGCCAGGAUGUUGGCUUAGAAGCAGCCAUCAUUUAAAGAAAGCGUAAUAGCUCACUGGUCGAGUCGUCCUGCGCGGAAGAUGUAACGGGGCUCAAAUCUAUAACCGAAGCUGCGGAUGCCAGUUUACUGGCAUGGUAGGGGAGCGUUCUGUAGGCCGAUGAAGGUGCAUUGUAAAGUGUGCUGGAGGUAUCAGAAGUGCGAAUGUUGACAUGAGUAGCGAUAAAGCGGGUGAAAAGCCCGCUCGCCGAAAGCCCAAGGUUUCCUACGCAACGUUCAUCGGCGUAGGGUGAGUCGGCCCCUAAGGCGAGGCAGAAAUGCGUAGUCGAUGGGAAACAGGUUAAUAUUCCUGUACUUGAUUCAAAUGCGAUGUGGGGACGGAGAAGGUUAGGUUAGCAAGCUGUUGGAAUAGCUUGUUUAAGCCGGUAGGUGGAAGACUUAGGCAAAUCCGGGUCUUCUUAACACCGAGAAGUGAUGACGAGUGUCUACGGACAUGAAGUAACCGAUACCACGCUUCCAGGAAAAGCCACUAAGCUUCAGUUUGAAUUGAACCGUACCGCAAACCGACACAGGUGGGCAGGAUGAGAAUUCUAAGGCGCUUGAGAGAACUCAGGAGAAGGAACUCGGCAAAUUGAUACCGUAACUUCGGGAGAAGGUAUGCCCUCUAAGGUUAAGGACUUGCUCCGUAAGCCCUGGAGGGUCGCAGAGAAUAGGUGGCUGCGACUGUUUAUUAAAAACACAGCACUCUGCUAACACGAAAGUGGACGUAUAGGGUGUGACGCCUGCCCGGUGCUGGAAGGUUAAUUGAAGAUGUGAGAGCAUCGGAUCGAAGCCCCAGUAAACGGCGGCCGUAACUAUAACGGUCCUAAGGUAGCGAAAUUCCUUGUCGGGU